GACGAACGCUGGCGGUGUGCUUAAUGCAUGCAAGUCGAACGAGAUCCUCCCGCUGGGUAACCAGAGGGAACGAUCUAGUGGCGAACGGGUGAGUAACACGUGAGGAACCUGCCCUGGAGACCGGAAUAGCCCGGGAAACCCGGAUUAAUACCGGAUACCCUCGAUUGAUCGCAUGGUCGAUCGAGGAAAUGGUCCGCCGUUUCGGGAGGGCUUCGCGGCCUAUCAGCUUGUUGGUGAGGUAACGGCUCACCAAGGCAACGACGGGUAGCUGGUCUGAGAGGACGACCAGUCACACUGGGACUGAGACACGGCCCAGACUCCUACGGGAGGCAGCAGCAGGGAAUAUUGCGCAAUGGGCGAAAGCCUGACGCAGCGACGCCGCGUGAGGGAUGAAUGCCUUCGGGUUGUAAACCUCUUUCAGUGGAGAAGAAGCGAAAGUGACGGUAUCCACAGAAGAAGCCCCGGCCAACUACGUG
This 476-nucleotide ribosomal RNA is filed under the name uncultured bacterium. Its description in RNAcentral is "bacterial SSU rRNA". It matches the Rfam family "Bacterial small subunit ribosomal RNA", at positions 28 to 507 of the family's 1533-position model. The record is from RNAcentral.